This is a long non-coding RNA of Arvicola amphibius (Eurasian water vole), 1231 nucleotides long. RefSeq lists it as uncharacterized. The record is from RefSeq and is a predicted model, not a curated record. Lineage: Eukaryota; Metazoa; Chordata; Mammalia; Rodentia; Cricetidae. The transcript is spliced from 2 exons.
CCCAGCCGUCUUCUAUUACAGGGCAGGAUGCUAGGAAGAGGAAAGCAGGGAUGCAGAGCCAGGGAAGAGUGAAGUCAGGGAUUAGCCCUGUGCUCACACUGGGUUCUAUGGAGACAGAGACACGGGGGGAGUCCACGAGGCACUGAAACAGCUGGGUCUGUGCGAUGCACUGUGCUUCACAGUUUAUGGGAGGAUGAGCCAGGAAAGGCUAGGGCUAAGGGCGUGUGUCCCUAAAUAAGUUACAGAAUCAAAUAGCCCUGACACGCAUUCAGCACCCAGGCUUCCCGCAGCUUGGGAGAGACAGUGCUUCUGUCUUGUCUUAACUGAUCCUCUGAUACUAUAGAUUUCUGCACAGAUCUAUGUACUGGAUCCAAUGCUCAUAUGGCCCAGGAAUGAUGCUACAUCAUAUAAUCCUAACACAUAGGAAGCGAGGGUAGGAGGAUUAUGAGUUCAAGGUCAUCUUUGGAUAUACAGUGAGUUUGAGGUUAGCCAAGGGACUCAGAAAACCAUCCCAAACAAAACGAACAAGAACAAACAAAGAAACAAACAAAACUGACUCCCCAGGGACUUUCAGGAAGAAUUCUUCCAUCUCUCCAGGCGUUUCUUGCUUAUCAGAACAAUUUUGGCAUUUUGUUGAAGGGGGUCACAAAACCUUCUCAACUAGAAGUCUACCAUCUGCCCAUCCAUUCACAUUUUUUUUUUCAAAACUGUUUUUUAAAUUUUUCAUGACAGAGUGUGGCAGCUUCUGGCACAGGAGAGACAUUCAAACCAGCAACUCUGACUCUCUCUCCUGAUUUGCGUCUUGGGAAAUUCCAAGAUACCUGCAGGACUAUUAUCCCUACCAUGGAAGCUGUUCAUUUGGAUGGAGUCAUAUGUUCAUCUGUGGUUUGUUAUUAUAGAUACUGACUUCUGUCUAAUUCCUUUGAAAUGUCUUCUAGGAAAGAACAUCCCUUGCCCACACCCUGGUCCAGGUCAAGAUCCAAGAUCCCCCAACUUUGGGCCUAUAUUCUCUCCUGCCAUCUGCAUGGCCUCAUUGUAAGCCACUGUGAGAUGUGACUUCCUUAUGUGUGGCAUGAGUGGCCCACAUCUCGGGGAGCCCCCGUAGCAGUUGAAGAUGUGAGCUCCCAGCAACCUGUUCCAGCCAACUGCCGCACCUAUUGCUGUCUGUCUUGCUGUCCUAGUCACCACAGACUCUGGAACCAUAAGCCAAAAUAAACGAUGUCUUCACUCA